RNAcentral lists this long non-coding RNA (212 nucleotides) under Lathyrus oleraceus (garden pea). Its description in RNAcentral is "Pisum sativum (pea) long non-coding RNA (PSAT_LNC025495)". Lineage: Eukaryota; Viridiplantae; Streptophyta; Magnoliopsida; Fabales; Fabaceae. The record is from RNAcentral.
ACAUAACAAUAAAAGUCUACACUGAAGAAGGUCCCACAGACGGCUCUGCAUCAUCAACCAUCUUGGUAAACUUCACGGCGAACCUGAGCUCAGUGUUCUCCUGCUGCAGUCUUCCCACCUCCUUCUGGUGAAUCUUCAUCUGUCGGAAAUAAUGGUCCCUCUCAGCAAGAUAAUGGUCUCUCUCAACAAUAAUCUUCACGUUCUCUUCUUCC